RNAcentral lists this unclassified non-coding RNA (242 nucleotides) under Glomus sp. Its description in RNAcentral is "partial contains 5.8S ribosomal RNA and internal transcribed spacer 2". The stretch from base 1 to 71 matches the Rfam family "5.8S ribosomal RNA", at positions 84 to 154 of the family's 154-position model. The record is from RNAcentral. Lineage: Eukaryota; Fungi; Glomeromycota; Glomeromycetes; Glomerales; Glomeraceae.
GUGAAUCAUCGAAUUUUUGAACGCAAAUUGCACUCUCUGGUAUUCCGGAGAGUAUGCCUGUUUGAGGUUCAGUUUAUAUAAAAAUCGGUGUGUUUGCUGCUCUUCGUGGUUACGCACCGGAUUUGGGUCGUCUUUCCUUCGGUUAAGUGACCUAAAAUUUUGCAUGAUUCUUUCGAACGUAUUUAAAUGAUUUUACGUACGUUUGCGAUAACGAAUGCUAGGUGUGGACAUCCCCAUGAUUC